GAUGAACGCUAGCGGCGGGCCUAAUACAUGCAAGUCGAACGGUGGUAGCAAUACCAUAGUGGCGCACGGGUGCGUAACACGUAACUAACCUACCCAGCACUGGGGGAUAGCCCGCCGAAAGGCGGAUUAAUACCGCAUAAGAUAGCAGAGGGGCAUCCCUUAGUUAUUAAAGAUUUAUUGGUGUUGGAUGGGGUUGCGGUCAUUAGCUAGUUGGUUGGGUAACGCUGACCAAGGCGACGAUGACUAGGGGANCUGAGAGGCUGGUCCCCCANACGGGCACUGAGAUACGGGCCCGACUCCUACGGGAGGCAGCGAGUAAGGGAUAUUGGGGCAAUGGGCGAGAGCCUGACCCAGCCAUGCCGCGUAGAAGGAUGAAGGUCCUCUGGA
Molecule: ribosomal RNA, 387 nt
Filed under: uncultured bacterium
Lineage: Bacteria
Description: bacterial SSU rRNA
Rfam family: Bacterial small subunit ribosomal RNA
Source: RNAcentral